Molecule: long non-coding RNA, 1111 nt
Organism: Xenopus laevis (African clawed frog)
Lineage: Eukaryota; Metazoa; Chordata; Amphibia; Anura; Pipidae
Exons: 2
Source: RefSeq, a predicted model, not a curated record
GGGCGUUUAGAGGUUUUUCUUGAAAAUGUUUCACCACACAUCCAAUAGGCUUCUUCAGUUCAACUGAAGUGGUAGGCAAUUCCCUGGCAUUUCACCUCUUGAUGGUAGUAAAGUCACAGACAUCAAAUCACAGUGGUUACAUUGAACUUCAGUGAGGUGUUUCCCAGAUGUGGGAAAAUGUGGUCCAGUCACAAUGGUACCAUUGAGGCAGUGUUGAGCUUUCUAGAUACUGUAUUUCAUGGCCUGGAUAAAUGAGAAUCUUCAUGAACACUUCCUGCCAACUGUGGCCAGAAUUUGAAAUUUCAGGUGAUCUUUAGAUUUUUUAAUUUUACAAACACUGUAGCUUAUGACCGCACACACUUAUUUUACAGGUGCAGACUUCUCCAUCAUUGCUUUGUGAAGUCAGUACAUCGGCUAGACUUACUUGUCUCUCAGCUUGGCUUCCCAGUGGCGUAGACUAUAAGGAAAAAAGCAACACAGCUGUCACUGCUUCAGCUGUGAAAGACUUUGACAGGCCAAAGAAGAAAAGUCCCAAAAUGAAACAACGGAUAAGGAAGCAAGUGGAAACCUGAAACUAAACAGAAGAAAAAGAAACCCAGUUAAAUAACUCAAUUCCUGUAUUUAUUUAUUCUCUGUACAUGUUUAUUAAAUAGUUGAAAAGUAAAGGGAUAAUAAUUUAUUUUUUAAUAUGCAAUAACAUGCUAAUGCAAUAUUAUUAUUUGAAUACUAAAUAUCUGCUUUUGGUAUCGCUAAAGGUAUAUCCUACUCUCUUUUUUGUUAUGCAGCACACCCUUUUCAUGCACACACCAAAACAAGCUAAUUAAGAAAUGUGCAACAGGCCCUAUGGUGCUUGAAAUUUUUUCUGCUGCUUAACCAUUGGGCCUGACCUACUUGUCAUUUUACUUCUCCUCAGGACACCACAGCAAAACAACCCUUUCCACAUUUUUUCCCUUUAAACUUCCCAUCGCUUAUGCAAUCGUGGCACCUGGUCAAGGUUAUUACAGCAGUUUCAUUCACUUGAGAAAAAAUGUAUUUAUGCUCCAUUAAUGUAUUAGUCAUCUAGUUAAACAGCUGAAAUGCAGUUGCUGUAUUUAAUAAAAUGGAUGUUUUA